Molecule: RNA transcript, 334 nt
Organism: Mus pahari (shrew mouse)
Lineage: Eukaryota; Metazoa; Chordata; Mammalia; Rodentia; Muridae
Gene name: small ubiquitin-related modifier 2 pseudogene
Exons: 1
Source: RefSeq, a predicted model, not a curated record
GCAGCUGAGGAGACUCCCGGUGCUCUCCAUGGCCGAUGAGAAACCCAAGGAAGGAGUCAAGACUGAGAACAACGAUCAUAUUAACCUGAAGGUGGCGGGACAGGAUGGUUCUGUGGUGCAGUUUAAGAUUAAGAGGCACCCACCGCUUAGUAAACUAAUGCAAGCCUAUUGUGAACGGCAGGGUUUGUCAAUGAGGCAGAUCAGAUUCCGGUUUGAUGGGCAGCCAAUCAACGAAACAGGCACACCUGCCCAGUUGGAAAUGGAGGAUGAAGAUACGAUGGAUGUGUUCCAGCAGCAGACUGGAGGUGUCUUCUAAAAAGGGAGCCUGCUACUU